Molecule: ribosomal RNA, 406 nt
Filed under: uncultured bacterium
Lineage: Bacteria
Description: partial 16S ribosomal RNA
Rfam family: Bacterial small subunit ribosomal RNA
Source: RNAcentral
AUUGAACGCUGGCGGCAGGCCUAACACAUGCAAGUCGAACGAGUGGCGGACGGGUGAGUAAUGUAUUGGAAACUGCCUGAUGGAGGGGGAUAACUACUGGAAACGGUAGCUAAUACCGCAUACCAUCGGAUGUGCCCAGAUGGGAUUAGCUAGUAGGGGGGGUAAAGGCCUACCAAGGCGACGAUCCGUAACUGGGCUGAGAGGAUGGUCAGUCACACUGGAACUGGGACACGGUCCAGAGUCCUACGGGAGGCAGGAUUUGGGAAUAUUGGACAAUGGGCGAAAGCCUUAUCCAGCCAUUCCGCGUUUGUGAAGAAGGUCUUCGGGUUGUAAAGCACUUUAAUUUGGGAGGCGUUACCAACAGAAUAAGCACCGGCUAACUUCGUGCCAGCCGCCGCGGUAAUAC